This 254-nucleotide ribosomal RNA is filed under the name uncultured bacterium. RNAcentral describes it as "partial 16S ribosomal RNA". It matches the Rfam family "Bacterial small subunit ribosomal RNA", at positions 524 to 777 of the family's 1533-position model. The record is from RNAcentral.
UACGAAGGGGGCUAGCGUUGUUCGGAUUUACUGGGCGUAAAGCGCACGUAGGCGGAUUGUUAAGUGAGAGGUGAAAUCCCGGAGCUCAACUCCGGAACUGCCUUUCAUACUGGCAAUCUAGAGUCCGGAAGAGGUGAGUGGAACUCCUAGUGUAGAGGUGGAAUUCGUAGAUAUUAGGAAGAACACCAGUGGCGAAGGCGGCUUACUGGUCCGGAACUGACGCUGAGGUGCGAAAGCGUGGGGAGCAAACAGGG